Schizosaccharomyces pombe (fission yeast) is the source of this 1177-nucleotide non-coding RNA. The record is from the annotation of a GenBank genome assembly. Lineage: Eukaryota; Fungi; Ascomycota; Schizosaccharomycetes; Schizosaccharomycetales; Schizosaccharomycetaceae.
GCUUUUUAUUUAGACGUUAGUAAAGUAGCUUGCUUGAUACGCAUUAGUACAAAAAUCCAAAGAAUUGAGAAAAUCACGAGCCAAGCAAAAACAGUAUAAGAACGAUUAACUUGUUUAACCUCUAAUGUUCUUUUAAAAAUAAAAAAAAAACACAGAUGUUUCGUUAAUUUUUUGAUACUUAGAUUAUGCCCUCAUGUGUUUCAUAAAUAGCAUUCCUUGCUUUUCGUUUUUUUCUGUUUUUUUUCUUUUUCUUUCAGACAAUUUAUAAAAAAAAUUCUUUGCAUGUACCUAAAUAUAGUUUGCAUUCUCAUUUAGGUUGAUCAAGUUGGUUAAUAACCACGUGGCUUCGAAUAUCUGUCAUGUUCAGGAGCCACAUGUCUCUCCAUUGUUACAGCGAUUUGGUUGAUCUUUACAUGGCUUACGCAUACGAAGAUGCUUCCUGCAUUUUUUUUUUAUUUCAAAUCGUUCAUUCACUCUGCACUAGCGAAAAUCUUCAUUCAUAUGCAAACUUGUCACUCUUUUAUAUUAACAAAAUAUAAACUUAAGCUUGAAUACAACUGUUAGCUUUGAACGCUACACCUACCCUAGUACCCUAGUAGCUUGAUAACCAUAGCGAAGAUCCGUGGCCUAUUGUCGAUCUCUGGGAAACUGUCACUGGAUCAAAAGCAUCAUGUUUCUUCGCUCGGUAAGAAAACUAUACUCCAGAUUUAUGAGAAAGGCACAAAAAGCAUCAAAACCUAUGCCAAUGCAAGUCUCACAAAACCAAAUUAUCCACCCCUAAAGGUGGAAUUGUUCGUUGUUCGUGAUGCGAUUAUUGCUUUAUCAGGAUGAUUGUACUUAAUCUCAAUCAGAUCACCCCAAGGUUAGUCGGCUUUGUCAAAGGUCUUACCUUUUAUUGAAAUCCAUAUCCUCCUGUAACAAUAGGGGAUUCACUAUUCAUACCUAGUUCACCCAUUUUUCUCAUUUCACUUCUUAAAGCAAAUAACGUAUAAUAACAGUAUUUGUUUACUGAUGAGAUUAACAUUACCCGAUGAAGAAAACCAACUAUGGUACAGCAAUAGGUAGUUAAGAAAAUACAUGAGAUCGUAAAUACCAAAUGUUUGCCAAUUAUGAGCGUGAAUUAGCAUUAGUUUUUUUUUUUCUUAAUUCAUCUGUGUUUCAAUAAUACGAAUUAGAU